Hyalella azteca is the source of this 318-nucleotide long non-coding RNA. RefSeq lists it as uncharacterized. Lineage: Eukaryota; Metazoa; Arthropoda; Malacostraca; Amphipoda; Hyalellidae. The record is from RefSeq and is a predicted model, not a curated record. The transcript has 3 exons.
UGCGUCAGCAGCUGCGCGCAGGUUGGGGACUACAGAGAGCAGUUCGCGUGGGUGCUGUCACGCACGCAGGAGCUCGACGCUGACACGCUCACGACCGUGCUCGGAGUGUUCGAGUCUAACGGCAUCGACACGUCGGUGCUGCAGCCUACGCCGCAAGGGGGCGAUUGCGUCUACGCGCCAGUUCCUCCCAAGAUAUAAACGAUGGAAAUACGGCAUAAAAUUCCAUGUUUAAUCAAUAUUGCAUAGGGAUUGAACUCAUUGAAGGAAAAUAUAUGUAACUAUAAUAUGAAUCUGUGUCAAGUAAAUUGAGGAAAUUCG